AGCCAUAUUAAUUAGGGUUGGUAAAUUUCGUGCCAGCCACCGCGGCCAUACGAUUAACCCAAGUUAAUAAGCACACGGCGUAAAGCGUGUUAAAGCACUGUACUAAAUAAAGUUAAAUUCCAAUUAAGCUGUAAAAAGCCAUAAUUGCAACAAAAAUAAACAACGAAGGUAACCUUAUAGCCGCUGAAACACGAUAGCUAGGACCCAAACUGGGAUUAGAUACCCCACUAUGCCUAGCCCUAAACACAAAUAGUUGUGUAAAC
This 263-nucleotide ribosomal RNA is filed under the name Dama dama (fallow deer). Its description in RNAcentral is "partial 12S ribosomal RNA". It matches the Rfam family "Bacterial small subunit ribosomal RNA", at positions 476 to 825 of the family's 1533-position model. Lineage: Eukaryota; Metazoa; Chordata; Mammalia; Artiodactyla; Cervidae. The record is from RNAcentral.